UCCAGGGUAGCCUAGUGGACAUGGCAUCUGCCCGUUAAGCGGAAGGUUGUGGGUUCGAUUCCCGCCCCUGGAC
This is a non-coding RNA of Cordylochernes scorpioides, 73 nucleotides long. The record is from the annotation of a GenBank genome assembly. Lineage: Eukaryota; Metazoa; Arthropoda; Arachnida; Pseudoscorpiones; Chernetidae.